AAUGGAAACAUGACUUAGGGACAGC
Molecule: non-coding RNA, 25 nt
Filed under: Cricetulus griseus (Chinese hamster)
Lineage: Eukaryota; Metazoa; Chordata; Mammalia; Rodentia; Cricetidae
Source: RNAcentral